RNAcentral lists this ribosomal RNA (428 nucleotides) under uncultured archaeon. Its description in RNAcentral is "bacterial SSU rRNA". It matches the Rfam family "Archaeal small subunit ribosomal RNA", at positions 474 to 903 of the family's 1478-position model. The record is from RNAcentral.
AACCAGCUCUCCGAGUGGUAGGGAUAAUUAUUGGGCUUAAAGCGUUCGUAGCCGGCUUAGCAAGUCUCCUGUUAAAUUCAGCGACUCAAUCGUUGAGCCGCGGGGGAUACUACUAGGCUAGGAGGCGGGAGAGGUCAACGGUAUUCUCGGGGUAGGGGUGAAAUCCUAUAAUCCCGAGAGGACCACCAGUGGCGAAGGCUGUUGACUAGUACACGCUCGACGGUGAGGGACGAAAGCUGGGGGAGCGAACCGGAUUAGAUACCCGGGUAGUCCCAGCUGUAAACGAUGCGGGCUAGGUGUUGAGGUGGCUACGAGCCACUUCAGUGUCGCAGGGAAGCCAUUAAGCCCGCCGCCUGGGGAGUACGGCCGCAAGGCUGAAACUUAAAGGAAUUGGCGGGGAGCACCACAAGGCGUGAAGCUUGCGGUUC